This 162-nucleotide small nucleolar RNA is filed under the name Penaeus japonicus. Its description in RNAcentral is "small nucleolar RNA SNORA23". The record is from RNAcentral. Lineage: Eukaryota; Metazoa; Arthropoda; Malacostraca; Decapoda; Penaeidae.
UGUGUGUGUGUGUGUGUGUGUGUGUGUGUGUGUGUGUGUGUGUGUGUAUGUGUGUGUAUACACACACACACACACACACACACACACACACACAUAUAUAUAUAGUAUAUAUAUAUAUAUAUAUAUAUAUAUAUAUAUAUAUAUAUAUAUAUAUAUACAUAU